GCCAGGGUUCCUUUGUGUGUCCACUGAUGUUUCUCGAUGGUAGCUAGGAAGACUUUUGUGUGCUGGGCUGGUAGUAAUACAAGAGGUAACCCCAGGACAGUUUCUGCACAAUGAAGUUGUGCCAGUAGAGCUGCAGAAAAAUAACUCUCCAUUCUGACCUUUAUUUAUAGAAGUGACAACAGGUGCCUUGACUUCUUUCCCUUUCCUCCUUAGGGAAGACAUUCUUCCAAGUAUCAAGAAAGGGAGCCCUUGCUUCCCUGGAAGAUAUUUAGUCCAGCAAUCCCACUCCAGUUCCAUGUGACCAUUCCUAAUUUGAGCCAGUUUUGGAAAGGAAGUCAUCUCACAUGCCACCUUGGAAGGCAGAGAAACACAGAUAAUCAGGUAAGUGGUCAGAACAUGGUAAAGCCUCCACAUACACGUGACCCCCCCCCUUCAUGUUUUGGCUUUCAAUUCUCAGCCAGUCUGUCCUUUUGGAAUUUGGUG
Molecule: long non-coding RNA, 483 nt
Filed under: Mus spicilegus (steppe mouse)
Lineage: Eukaryota; Metazoa; Chordata; Mammalia; Rodentia; Muridae
Description: lncRNA (ENSMSIG00000008856.1)
Source: RNAcentral